GCGGGCAGACGGGUGAUCGCUGCCGGUUUCGGCCGGGAGAGGAAAGUCCGAACUCCGCAGGGCAAUGUGCCUCGUAGCGCGAGGACCCGUAAGGGAUGGAAAGUGCCACAGAAAACAUACCGCCGGGAGAGAAAUUCGGGGAAGGGGAAAUUCGGGGUCAGACCACUGAAUUCCCUUUUUCCAGUUCAAGUAAGGGUGAAAAGGUGCGGUAAGAGCGCACCAGCGGUCCGGAGACGGAUCGGCUUGGUAAACCCCACACGGAGCAAGGCCAAAUAGGGAAACGUUGAACGGCCCGUUCAGUUUCCGGGUAGGCCGCUUGAGUUUCGGGGAAACCUGAGACCUAGAUGAAUGAUCGCCACCUGGGUUGCGAGAUUUGCGACCCGGGUACAGAAUUCGGCUUAUAGUCUGCCUGCCGAU
RNAcentral lists this RNase P RNA (417 nucleotides) under Acidobacteria bacterium 13_1_20CM_2_57_8. RNAcentral describes it as "RNase P RNA component class A". It matches the Rfam family "Bacterial RNase P class A". Rfam says of the family: Ribonuclease P (RNase P) is a ubiquitous endoribonuclease, found in archaea, bacteria and eukarya as well as chloroplasts and mitochondria. Its best characterised activity is the generation of mature 5'-ends of tRNAs by cleaving the 5'-leader elements of precursor-tRNAs. Cellular RNase Ps are ribonucleoproteins. Lineage: Bacteria; Pseudomonadati; Acidobacteriota. The record is from RNAcentral.